Molecule: ribosomal RNA, 446 nt
Filed under: uncultured bacterium
Lineage: Bacteria
Description: partial 16S ribosomal RNA
Rfam family: Bacterial small subunit ribosomal RNA
Source: RNAcentral
CCAGACUCCUACGGGAGGCAGCAGUGGGGAAUAUUGCACAAUGGGGGAAACCCUGAUGCAGCAACGCCGCGUGAGUGAAGAAGUAUUUCGGUAUGUAAAGCCCUAUCGGCAGGGAAGAAGGAGGACGGUACCUGACUAAGAAGCCCCGGCUAACUACGUGCCAGCAGCCGCGGUAAUACGUAGGGGGCAAGCGUUAUCCGGAUUUACUGGGUGUAAAGGGAGCGCAGGCGGCACGGCAAGCCUGAUGUGAAAGCCCGCGGCCCAACCGCGGGACUGCAUUGGGAACUACCGGGCUGGAGUGCCGGAGAGGUAGGCGGAAUUCCUAGUGUAGCGGUGAAAUACGUAGAUAUUAGGAGGAACACCAGUGGCGAAGGCGGCCUACUGGACGGUGACUGACGCUGAGGCUCGAAAGCGUGGGGAGCAAACAGGAUUAGAUACCCUGGUAC